RNA transcript from Vanessa tameamea, 2947 nucleotides. It is a transcript of the gene named irregular chiasm C-roughest protein-like, with no coding region annotated. Lineage: Eukaryota; Metazoa; Arthropoda; Insecta; Lepidoptera; Nymphalidae. The transcript has 21 exons. The record is from RefSeq and is a predicted model, not a curated record.
GCAACAACGCUAGUCGUGUCGUUAGUGCAGUGUGAAUUUUACGUGUCGUGUUUUGUGGACGGAUUUUUGUUUCUCGGAUGUGUUCGGAUUACGUUUAUUUGAUUACAUACGCUAGAUGAGAAAUCGAAGCAAAUGUAUAAAAUUGACGACCAUGCAACGAACAUAUGAGCCGAAAUGGCGGCGGAAUUUAAACGAACGUUAAAGCUGCGCGGGCGCAGGGAUGAUUCGGAAUUCGAAAAUAGAAUGCGCAGGAAGCUGGGAUGGGCCGGGCCGGAUGUGUGCAUUUGGAUCCUGCUGUCUGCGACCUUUUUUGUCGGUUGUCAUGGUUACCAGGAGCAGAGAUUUGCAAUGGAGCCACAGGAUCAGAGUGCAGUCGUGGGCUCCCGCGUGACGUUACCGUGUCGUGUCGAACACAAAGUCGGCAGCCUGCAGUGGACCAAGGACGAUUUCGGUCUUGGCACACAUCGGAACCUCAGUGGCUACGAGCGAUACUCCAUGAUCGGCAGCGACGAGGAAGGCGAUUACUCAUUAGAUAUAAAAGAUAUCACGUUGGAAGACGAUGGCUUGUAUCAAUGCCAAGUUAGUUCCGGUCUUAAUGGUGUGCCGGCUAUACGAUCGAGAUACGCAAAAGUUACAGUGUUGGUCGCACCGGAGCCGCCUCGUAUAUUACAAGGAGCUUUUAUCGAUGCGAUUGAAGAUCAACCUGUUGAUAUUGAGUGUGUAUCCGAAGGCGGAAAGCCAGCAUCCGAAAUAACUUGGGUAGAUGGAAGUCAGAAUGUUAUCAAGAAUAACGUUGAAAGCAGAGUUGAAAUGUUACCAGACGAACAAAGAUAUAUAACUAGAUCGGUUUUGCGGUUGAUACCUAACAAGCUACACCACAAUCAGACAAUAACGUGUCAAGCGCAGAACACAGCGGACAGGGCGUACAGGAUGGCCACAGUACAUAUUGAGGUAAAAUACGCUCCAAAGAUAAACGUUUCCAUUGUAUCCGGUGCUGUAAAUAAGAGAAUACCGGAAGGCAGUGAAGCACGGUUUCUAUGUUCGGUUGACGCAAAUCCUCCUGCACAAAUGUACCGAUGGUAUCUGAACAACAACCCAAUAGUUGGUGAUUACGAGGAAGAAUUGAUUAUAUUCAAUGUCACCCGCAAACACAAUAAGGCUGUACUGAAGUGUGAAGUUAGUAAUACAGCUGGGAAGAGCGAGUCUACUCUUGCUUUGAACGUAACUUAUCCGCCAUCGUUCCGAACUCAUCCACAAAAUGUGGAGGCAGCGGUCGGCGCGAGUGUUACUUUGAGUUGUGACGUCGACGGACAACCGCAGCCUGAAAUACGCUGGCUGUUCCACGAGCCGGGAAGAAUAGGGCAGGUCAAAGGGAAGGCACCGAACCUCAAAGUGUACGUGGACGAGCGUACAGCCGGACGAUACAUCUGUAAAGCAACUGUUAGUGGAUAUCCGGAGAUUGAAAGUGAAGCCACUAUAUUUAUUAAAGGUGCACCCAAGAUUAUUUCAAACAGAACCCAAGCUGGUUCCGAAGGCGAUAAGGUGACAGUUGAAUGUGAAGCUCUCUCGGUACCAAGACCUGAUGAUAUCAGGUGGUACUUUGAAGGGAAAGAAAUCAGCGUUAUACAGGAUCCAGACUUUGCGACAUUGGAAGAAACAUUACCAAACGGUAUUGUGAAGUCGAGUCUCGUGAUCCGAGAUAGCCAAUCUAAACACUACGGCGUAUACAAUUGUAGUGUUACAAAUGAAUAUGGAAACGCUAAUGCUGCUAUUACACUCAAACCGUUGAAAACAUUACCGCUGUUCAUAAUUCUAAUAGGCGUGACGUCUGGGAUUAUAAUAUUCUCGUCAUUCGUGAUACUCGUCGUAGUGUGUCACAGGAAACGAAGGAAGAAUCAGAAGAUAAACGAAAAACCGGACGUGACAGUCACUUCCGGUGACAUGUAUAAAGAGAGUGACCGGAGUUCGAACAUAAGUGACUUGAAGUUACAGUUACCUCAAACCGAUGAAAGUUACGACUUGGAGUAUACAAGUUCCGAUCGCUCGGAUACAAAGAAUCCUGCCGGUCUCCCUCUCGCGGGACCGGUCCCGCUACCAAACAUACGCCACGACGAUCCGAUGCUGCAAUUUAGAUACAGCAAUGAUUAUUCAGAUCCAACAUACGCGGAUACUUAUUUUAAGAACCCAGCCGCUUACGUGUACGACUACCCACAAGGGUACGUGCCUCCCCCACACUUGAGGGUUCAAUCUCCGACACUCGAAGUACCAACUAGCAGGUCCCUUCAAGGUUCAUUGACGCGUAGUAUAGACACGUCGUCAACGCUUCCGUUGUCAGCCGGUAACGGAUCGCAGAACAAUUCGUUGCAACGAACGAAAACUGACGAAACUGACGCUAUUAAUAAUUUAGGCUUACCUGUUGGUGGCGAAGCACCACAAGUGCCCGUUUACACCCAGUCUGGGGGUAAAAAUCAAAGCGGGGUCGACUUAAGAUACGCAGCGACGUACGGAAAUCCCUACCUUAGAAAUGGUACAAUGAGUUAUUCAAACCAAGUUCAUACCGCGAAGCCGGCUUCUACGCCUGCUCCGCCGCCAUACUCCGCAGUGCGAAGCUCAGUUCAUCUCCCAGGUUAGCACCGACUGCUUAGCUUCAAACUUACCUUAUAGGAUUUCAACUCUGAUAAUACUUAAAAAUAAUUGUAACGCACCGACGACGUUAGCCACGCAUGUGUAGCGUUAACGAAGUGUAAAAAUAUAAUAAUAAUUGUAUAAAAAAAAAAUGGACUAAUUUCUAUACAACCGUGUUAAAUUAAACACUUGUAAUAUAUAACGUUCCUAAAUAAAUAUUACGACUGAGAUGUAAAUAGAAUAUAGGUUAGGUGUACAAAGUGAAAUAAGGACAGUUACACGCGAGCGACAGUAAAUAUUUUUUUAAUUUAAAUUAUUUAAC